Apis cerana (Asiatic honeybee) is the source of this 7765-nucleotide long non-coding RNA. RefSeq lists it as uncharacterized. The record is from RefSeq and is a predicted model, not a curated record. Lineage: Eukaryota; Metazoa; Arthropoda; Insecta; Hymenoptera; Apidae.
UUGAAUGGCCGACCGGCCGACGAUCAGGUUCUCUCCUUUUAUCCCCGACUUCCUCAAUCGAGACACCGAUAUCUCCUUCGCGUUCGUGUGUACAUACGUGUGUGCUCUUCUUCCUCUUCUUCCUCCUCCUCUUCUCCUUCUAACGCGUGUAGCACGAGAGUUAACAUUCUUAUCCCCUCAGUGAGUGGAACACGGGCGAGCCUCGCGUCGAGAACUCGUCAACGACGACCACGACGAUGCUCCAAGGGAGAUAUAUUCGACCAAGGUUGGAGAGCGUUGUGAAGCAAGGUGGAGAAGCAAGAUGGAGGCCGCUGAUGCGGCCGAUUCGAACGGAAUCAGUGAUGGCUAUAAAACGGAAGCAACCAUAGAAAUUUUCUUUUCUUCUUCUUUUUGAAUACAUGGUAUGUUUUACAUGAUAUGUAUUUGCUACAUUCACACAAACGGUAAUAUUAUUUCUAUUUUAUCUUACAUAUUGAUUCAUUCAUGUGAACGUAGAAAUAUAUAGGAACAAAAAAGAUCAAUUGCUCAAACUUAUAAACAAACAAUUGACGCGAAAUGCAUAUUGUCUAUAUAAAAAAGACUAUGGACUAUGACUAUGAACUUAUCAGUUAAUAUCAUUAUAUCUAUUAAUAUCUAUUAAUAAUCAAUCAACUAAUUUGAUUAAAUUUAUUGAAGUUGAUAUUUCGUUGUUACCUUUUAAAUCAUUCAUUCAAAGAUAUAAAAUUAGAGAAUGUUCUUCUUCUUUUUUAUUUUUAAACGAGAAAUUAUUCAAACACUUGAACGUAUAAUUAAUUAAUUUUAAACAUAUAUUUCUUUAACAGCUUGAAGAUUAGUAAAAUUUCUAUCUUUUAAAUAAUAGAUUGUUUAUAAAUUAUAAGUGAAAUAAAGAAAAAAUAAUUGAUAAUCCACAGAGCAAAAUUUCGAACAAAAUUAUCCAAUAUAUCCAAUGAAUAUUCAAUAAAUUUCCAUCAGAAUGAGCAACUACACAAGGCUUUAUCAUAAUAGAAAAUUCUUUCUCGACGCAAUUUCGAUCAUAAUUUACUUAAUAAUGGAAUCAAAUAAUAAUAUACACACAAACUAUUAUUUCUCUUUAAAAAUUUGUUACGUUCAGGAAUUUUUAUCUAUUAAUUUUAAUAUAGUUUUAAUUUUAUUUUUUUUAAUUCUACUUGUUUUCUCUUUUAAUUCUUGACAAUUGUUCAUAGUAAGAGUGUGUUUAAAUAUGUCACUAGAUAUCUUUCAGAGCGACCCGGUCGAUCGUUGUGCAGGGAUGUGGGUCAGGCAUACGCCCGAACCCCCUGGAUUUUCAUCUCGUCCCUUUCUCCGAUAAACAUAGAAUUUUCUCUGGAAUCCUCGGAACUUUUCACAAAAAAAUUUUCUUUAUGACGGUCAUUAUCUAAACUCGAUUAUGUCUACUUAUCUUGAAAAUAGGAAAAUAAAUUUCAUCUGUCAUAAAAGUGCAAUUAGGUAACUUAAGAUCCUCGUUAAAAACUUUUUAAUUUUAUAAUCAUGUUACUUUAUCGCUAUCUUUUUCGUGUUAUUAUAAUAUUAUUAAUAUUAAUAUAAUUUUUAAAAAGCGAAUAUUAAUUUCAAAAAGUAUGCAAUCGAUAAAUAUUGAAAAGGCCAAUGAAAAAUAUUGAUAUUCAUUAUUAUUUUACUUAUUUAAUAUUUUAUUAUAAUAAUUCAUAAAUAACAUACAAUCAUAUCGUAAAAUCACGAUCAUAACCAUAUUUUAAACAUUUUAGUCGACAACUUUAGCUGGGAUCUUGAAACAUACUUGAGAAUUGUUAUUUUCGUCAACAAGAGAUAAUUGGAUGGUCAAAGCGACUUUUGGAUAGCUUUUCAGAACUGGCAUCUUAAGGUAAUAAGUAGCUGCUUGUCCAUUUUGCAAUGGGCACUGUCCGCUCACCAGAUUCUUGCAAGCGUUUUGUUCUGGGAGUGGGUAUUGCAAGUGGCUGUUUCCUAGGUCAACAUCUACUACGGGUUUCAGAGUUUUCGUGUUUGCAACUGUAACAAAUUAUUAAAUAGAAAAUAACAUACAAUUUAAUCAUGACAUGAAUAUAUUUAUAACACGAUAUGCUGUGUCAUGUCUUGUUAAAUUUAAAUUAAUUGUACUGUUUGACGUAUCUGUUUCAUUAUACUAUUACAUAUUCCACUUUAUAUUUUUGCAUAUAUAAUAAAAAAGAUAUUAGAAUUUGUUUUAAUUGUUACAUAACAUGUAUGAAUUUGUCUUUCAUUAUUUUAUAAUAGUUAUAGAUUUUAUUUUAAUAUUUAUAAACUGUAUUUUUACUUACCAGCCUUAAAGUCAACGUUAGCCUCAACGUUAGUUCCUCUAACCAAAUUGCAAGGUAGAUUAUCGCAACCUAAAAUCUUCACAUUCGUUGGGGCUGGUUUACCGUCGCAGGGCACAUAAGCUUGCAUCGAGUUGGCGAUGAAGAGCACCGCAAAUAUGUAAACUGCAAACAUAAGUGUGUAUACUUCAUUAAGGAUUAUAAGGACUAUAAUUAAGUAAUAGAAUAGAAAUAUAAAUUUGAAAUAGAAUUUUUCUGAAAUUCCAAAAAAAAUUCUAUUCUCUUUGAAUAUCUCUAUCAAUUUAUCAUUUCAAACUCUUAUUAAAUUAAUAUCUCUUAAGAUAAUAUUUCUAUAGCUUUGAACAUUAUCAAAUUUUCUAGAUGCUUACAAUAUAUAAAAUAUUAAAAUUAAUAGUAAUUUCUUUUAUUUAAAAUUAAAUAAUAUUUAAAAAAAACUAAUGAAAAUUUAUUAUUUUAUUAGUGUUCAGAAACUAAUUAAUACAUACCAUAGGUGAGGAUUGCCAUUUUGGAUUGCUACUUCUUUCGUGUUCAAAGUAACUGAAAAUCAUUGGAUUGCGGGUAGGUAUUUAUUGGCGGUUACUAUCUAAUCGAAUCAAACAUCAAAAAUGAUUAUCAUUGACAACCUUUGAAAACACUUCAAAAACACACCUGACAUCCAAAGUACUAUGUCUGCGACAUAUUUUAUCGAUAAAAAUUUUGUAAGGUAAUAAAGCAAUAUUUGUGUUCAUUCAAUCAAGUAAAAUCUAUCCUUUAUUUCUUCUCUGAUAAUCACGAUUAUCAUUGCAGGUGGCAGCUGUGAAAACUAAAUCUUUGUGUACUUUACUAUCAUGCCACAUUGACUUUUUGUUUUAAGUAAUUACUAUUUUAUCGAUAUAAUUUUUAGAUCACAGGUAUUAAUUGGAUUCGAAUUUGCUCGUUUUUAAUUAAGAAAAACUAUCCCAUAUUAAAUUUCUUUUAAUUUAAAUAAACACAAAAUACAUUUCUAAAUUUCUUCUAAAUAUUUCUGUUAUAUAUAUAAGAUAAGAAAGAAAAGAAGAAAAAUAAUUCAAAAUUCCAAGUUAAAUGAAUUAUUUAUUUAUAAAAAAAUUAUUUAUUUCAUUUAAUACAUAACAAUUUUAUUUUUAUUUAUUUUUUAUCUAUAAAAAAUUUUUCUCUUUAUACAAAUAUAAAUAUAGAAAUUCUCGAUUGAACUUUUAAUUUAACUUUUAGAUCAAUUUUUUGCAAUCCAUGGAACUUGUUCAAUCAUUAACAUUUUUUUUCGUCCAUAAAGGGCCUUGCACAAAUUUCUGGACCAGUCUAUCUCGCAAACAGAUCGGCGAGAUUAUAAACAAAGAGUGAUAAAUGAAAUAUCGCCACGAUUCGUUCCUAAAUUGAAAUUUAAAAAAAUUAGCCACAUAUGAGAUAAAAGAACGUAACGCUGAUUAAAAAAAUUCAAGACUUUACACACGACUGAUUUUUUCUAUCAGCCAAGCUCAGGUGUUUCGAUGCAGGUGUUAAACGAAAUGAAAAAUGGCAUUACAUCAUAAAGAUGUUUAUCAAAAUCAACAAGAUAAGUAGUAUAAAUUUUAGCCUUAGUAAUUUCAUAAUCAUACGAUUCAGUCAACGAAAAACCUACACUCAUGUAUACUAUUCCAUUCGUUUAACACAGUAACAUAUUUUAUAUUUUAUUAUAAUUAUUUGUAAUUAACGUUAGAUUGUUAAAUUGCGUUAAUUUUUUAAUUGUUCAAAAUUUCAUUCAAUAGACGUACUUGUAAAUUGGCGAUGGAUAUUUAUCUAAGAGAGCACCUUCGAAAGUCUCGUAGACACCCGAGUCCUGUAGCUUUUUUAAACUCGUAUUUUGUCCCACAGAAGUGAAAUAUUGCGAAUACCUGUUGAAAUAAUCACCGUAGAACGUUUUCGCCUCCUCGGACAUCGAUCUUCUCAUCGUCUCGAAAUGUUCAACUUGUCGUGCUAAUAUAUUGCUCUCAUUUACGAACGAACCUAUGCGAGUUUAAUUUCAAUGAAUCAUCCUUUGAUUACGGACCAGGGAUAAGGCAAACGACCUUGAUGCCAUGUUUCUUCAACUCCAUCCUAAUAGCAGUGGCCCAAGCGUUGAGGGCAGCUUUUGUCCCACUGUAAGCUGCUACUCCCGGAAUCGGUUGGAUGUUACAGUGGCUCGAGAUUACGAUAAUCCGGCUGAAGUGGGCGCGAAUCAUCGGCAUCAGUUCUUGAGUGAUUCUCAUAGUGCCCAGCAAAUUUACUUCUACUUGAUUUCUAAGCUGCUCGUCUGUUUGCCAUUCGAAUUCGCCGAAGAUCAUUACCGCCGCAUUAUUGAUCAAACAUCGUAAGACUAAAACCAGUAUUCUCAUGUGAUCGUUUAUCUUUUUCCCUUUUUUGAAUUCAUAUUUUCAAUUGUUCAAUUAUUCUCUUAUCUUUGAUUUAAGUACAUAUAUAUCGACUAGACACAGAAUGUUCAUGUUAUCAAUUCUUCUAAAUAUAUUUUUUUAAAUGAUACAUUUAUGAAAAGAAUAGCUUUCAAACAAAAUUAUUAUUAAUAUUGUGAAAUUUUUCUAUUUUUUUCAUAAAACAUUUAUCUAAAAAAUAUUAAGAAUUAAUAACUUGAAUAUCUUGUAUGCAUAUAUAUAUAUAUAUAUAUAUAUAUAUAUGAUUAUAUUUUAACGCAAAUAAAAUUUACCUAAAUUAUUUUGUGUUAAGAUUGUUCGAACAGAGUUCGCGAAAUUUUCAAUACUCUUAAUGUUCGUUACAUCCAAAGGAUAAACGAGCACGUUUUCGUUUUCUAAUUGUUUAGCUCCGGGUCCAUCGAUUUGUAAUACACUAGCGAUUACAAUUGCCCCAAGCUGCCGACAAUGCAGAGCCAGACUAUAUCCCAAUCCUGAAUCGCAACCAGUCACAAUAAUAGCGUGAUUUGAGAAUAUUUUAUCCCGAGAUUUAAAACAGCAAUAUAAGUAAGUAGCACCUGAAAAAUUAUUUUAAAUGUUUUUUUUUUCAAAUCAUAAUAGCAUCGAUAAUUGAGAAUUUGAUGAUAAUAUUAUAUUCUUUAUUAAAUGUUUACAAUAUUUAAAUGUUUAUCAAUUAAAUAUAUUAAACGAUUUAAUAACAGUACGUUGUAUUGAAUUAACUAACUUUCCCGCUGAUGACGCAUAUUGAUAAAUACAAUCUACCGGUAAAUAGAUAAGGGAUAAUAAAAUUAGAAACGUAAAGUCAAGUAUUAUUCAUAUUUCAAAGAUAUAUCUGAUAUAAAUCUCAUCUUUAAUUUCUAUUAUGAUAUAAAAAUAUUAGUAAUAGAGUAUUCUUUUAUGAAAAUUAUACAUCAUUAGUAGUAAAACAUAAUUGAUCUUUGUUUAAAUUACAAAAUUCUUACCGAUACCACAUAAAGAAAUCGUUGAUGCCAAAUAUUUGUAUCCCUUGUUCCACAAAUAAAAAAGAGUAAUCGAAGUUGUUAUAUCAGUUAUAAAUAUUGUAGAAUAUGUUUUAAUAUACUUUAUAAAUCGCAUUUUAAAACUAUCAGUCGUAAUUCGCCCCAAAGAUAACACUAAUCUUCCAACUUGUUGAUUGAAAAUUUGUCUACUUUUUAUUUAUAUGUACAAAAUCUUUUUCAAAGUUAAAAAAAAAAGAUGAAAACUAAAAAUAAUACACUUGAUAUAUUAACAAGAAAUAUAAAUAAAACAUUGAUAUAUUACAUGUAAAGUAUCUAUGAAAAAAGUUAAAAUUGAAAUUCUAAUUUUUUAUUAAUACUUAUUUAUAACGGAAAUAAAUAAGGAAUGUUUCCGUUUUAAAUGAAAUAUACGAUUUGAUAAUUAAAUUAUAAAUUUUUCACAAUAUAAAAAUCACUUGAUCACUCCGCAUUAUUAGAAUAUAGAAUAAUAAUAAACACGUGAAACGAAACGAUAGUAUCCUCGUCUUGAUCGCAAAUGGCUGCUAUGGGACGUGAAAAGAAAGAAAACAAAACAUCCCCACUCUUCUACUGUAGUUCACAGUGAUUCUUUUAAAAUUCGAAAGAAAAUUUAUAAAAUUUGUGCAAUUUCUAAACAAAAUAACAAUUAUUUAAGCGUGAUAUAAUAUUUCUAUUUAUUACAAAAGUAAAGAUAUUUUUUUCGUUUUUUUUUUUUGUAUAAAGUAUUUUUCUUUAAUAUAAAAUUAAUUCAAUAUAUCAGUUUGAUCUGUUAAGAGACUUUAAUAUUUCAUGAACAUUCUCUCUUGGAUUUAUCACGAGAUUUUCAUUUAAAUUGUAAAAAUGUCAAAUCACGCAUGAAUAAAAGAAAUAGGAUAAAUUUUUUUUGCUAUAAUUUUGUUCUAUAAUAAAAAUAUUAUUAAAAACAACUGAAAGGAUUUCUUAUUUCAAUAUAUGUAUUCCUACUCCUUUUAACAAAAUUGAAAAUAUUAGAAUUAAUAUUGGAGAACAGUCAGUUUAAUUACAUUAUAAUGUUAUUUUAAAAUAAAUGUAAUAACAUAAAUAAUAAAAUUGUGUUUCUGAUUAAAACCGCUAUCACAAUAAAAUCUUUUCUGGAUAUAGCUUAAUUCUAUUGACGGCAAUAGUAUCGGGAAUAUAAGAGCUAUUUUCGCUUAAUCUUCGCGCACGAUGAUAUAAAAAACUGAUUCAUAUAAUCACAAAACUUUUUGUAAAUUUAUAAGUCUUUACAGAUCGAAAUAUACAGCUUAAUAUUAAGGCAUACUUUACACAAAAAUUAACAGAUAUUAAGGCUAGCAAUACAUUAUAUCUUAUGUUAAUUAUUCUUUCAGAAUGAAAUUAUAAAACAAUGAAUACAUUAUUCGUUCGACUAUAGUCGUUAUUCCAUUAUUUUACAAGCUUCAGUUAUUGCUUCCACACAUAUUAUAUGCUUCAUUUAUAUUAUAUUCUCAUAGUUUUUUUAAAUUUUGAUUUUAAAAAAAUUAGAGAAUAUUAAAUACCAGCAGAUUUAUCGGCGACUAAAAUAUUAGGAUCCGCAUGAAGAUCGUAACUUGGAUCGCCAUCUGUAGCCAUCCUUCCGAGCCAUGAAAAGAGAAUUAAUAUUCCAAUAAAAGCUAAUAUACCCAUGAUACCUAGCACUGCAUAUCUCUUGUACAAUGGUCCAGGUGAGUUUCUACGCCGUGUUGGUGGACUAACUAUCAAUUUCCACCAUCUUAAGAACCAUUCAAUGGCAGAUUUUCUUCUAUAUUUAUUUUCAUCAUGAUCAAAGGAUAUUUCUUUUGGAUCAUCAUAAGCUUCACAAACUUUCCUUGAUGUUGGUUGUGAUAAUCCCAUAGAUGAAUCAAUAUUUACAAUUGAAUAGGGUGGCCCAACUUUUUGAUUAUUUAAAUGCACAUUAUUUAUAUUAGUAUGAACUGAAUUAACAUUGCUACCAGAACGUGAUGUAGUUGUUGAUGGUGAUGAAGUUGUAUGAUUUUGAUACGAUGUAGUUUCAAUUCUUAAUGAAGGAUGCUCUUGUUCUGGUUUUUGUUCCCUAUCUUCACUGAGC